AUUUUUUUUUUAGAAAAAGAAAUGCCCUUUUUUCAUUAGCUCCUUAAACUUAUUAUUGGCAUUUCGAUUCUUUCUAACUCACUCGCAUUUCAUUAUUUUAGUCUCUCUUCGCACUGCAUUCUCCACCACAGCCCCCUCCACUGCAACCGCCUCCUCACCAGUGCUCCACCAUAGCUCUCCUCCACCAGAGCCCUCAUCCACCGUAGACCUCGGCCUCCAACACGUACAACUCCUCGUUUUCCUCUCUUUCCCAAUGAAGCACACUCCAUGUUCUCCUCUGAGGCGACCUCAUCUGAAAUCAAUUGAGCCAAAUUAUGAUAUCAAUUGAGGUGAAUUCUCUCGGGUAAAGUUGAUUCUCUAUGCAAUUAUCGAAUCUCAACUUCGCAAUCUAGGGUUUAUUCUUAAUUUAGCUGAAGCAAGAUCUAGAUGGCAGAAUAUGAAAAACUUAGACAAGCAGGGAUAGAACAAAAUAGAAGCACAAUGAAGGAUUUGGGGGUUAUAUCCAUGGCUUAUGAAAUGAAAGAGUCGAUGAAGGGCUUGAAACAAACGAAUAAGCACUAACUCUUAUUAUUGCGUUAUUAUAUUUUUGCUCUAGAUGUUAUAUAUAUAUGAUGCUUUCACCUAUGGAAUUAAAUGGAUCAAGAUGAAGAAUUGGGAUACAAGUGAUGAUGCUACAAGAAGCACUUACUAUUACUGUUGUUUUGCUGCUGCUACUGCUGUUUUGAUGUUGUUACUGCUAUUUUUUUUGCUGCUACUGCUGUCUGUUGCUGCCACAGCUACUGCCAUUUGCUGCCACAGCUACUGCCAUUUGCUGCCACUACUGUCUGCUACUGAUGUUUGCUGUCACAUAAUGUUGUGUGCUGGUCUGUUAUAGCUGCUGCCGGUCUGCUAGCUAGCUGCUGCCGCUAUUUGCUGUUAUUAUCGCUGACUGUUUUUUUUGAAAUUUGGAAGUUUUUCUUAUUUCCUCACUUUUCCAAGCUAGAGAUCGAAGUUGAUUUUCUUUUUGUUUGGAUUAUUAUAUUGUUUGGCCAAACAUUAAAUUUGGUGUUUAUGAAUUUUUUUUAUAAGACUUGUGAAAUUAUUUCAAUCCAAAUUGUUGUCCA
This is a long non-coding RNA of Chenopodium quinoa (quinoa), 1103 nucleotides long. RefSeq lists it as uncharacterized. The record is from RefSeq and is a predicted model, not a curated record. The transcript has 2 exons. NCBI's taxonomy places the organism in Eukaryota, Viridiplantae, Streptophyta, Magnoliopsida, Caryophyllales, Amaranthaceae.